Oncorhynchus keta (chum salmon) is the source of this 1121-nucleotide long non-coding RNA. RefSeq lists it as uncharacterized. The transcript is spliced from 4 exons. Lineage: Eukaryota; Metazoa; Chordata; Actinopteri; Salmoniformes; Salmonidae. The record is from RefSeq and is a predicted model, not a curated record.
UUCAGCAACGUCACAGUUCCGGCUUCCAUAACAAUCCUCCGGAAUCUGCCCCCAGAAAUAAACAUGGAAAAGAGUCAGAGGGUAGGGGUGACAGCAGGAGAGACAGAGAGAGAGCUGGAGAGAUACAGAGAGAGACACACAGAAAGACAGACACACGCACAAAUAGAUAGAGAGAGAGACACACACAGAAAGAGAGAGACACACACGCACAGACAGAGAGAGACACACAAAUAGACACACACAUACAAAAAAAAUAGGUUAGUGUUGAGCUAGUAACCAGUAGGUAGCCUAGUGGUUAGAGAGUUGGGCCAGUAACCAGUAGGUAGUCUAGUGGUUAGAGAGUUGAGCUAGUAACCAGUAGGUAGCCUAGUGGUUAGAGAGUUGGGCCAGUAACCAGUAGGUAGCCUAGUGGUUAGAGUUGAGCCAGUAACCAGCAGGUAGCCUAGUGGUUAGAGAGUUGGGCCAGUAACCAGUAGGUAGCCUAGUGGUUAGAGAGUUGGGCCAGUAACCAGUAGGUAGCCUAGUGGUUAGAGAGUUGGGCCAGUAACCAGUAGGUAGUCUAGUGGUUAGAGAGUUGGGCCAGUAACCAGCAGGUAGUCUAGUGGUUAGAGAGUUGGGCCAGUAACCAGUAGGUAGUCUAGUGGUUAGAGAGUUGGGCCAGUAACCAGCAGGUAGUCUAGUGGUUAGAGCGUUGGGCCAGUAACCAGCAGGUAGUCUAGUGGUUAGAGAGUUGGGCCAGUAACCAGCAGGUAGUCUAGUGGUUAGAGUUGAGCCAGUAACCAGUAGGUAGUCUAGUGGUUAGAGAGUUGGGCCAGUAACCAGUAGGUAGCCUAGUGGUUAGAGAGUUGAGCCAGUAACCAGUAGGUAGUCUAGUGGUUAGAGUUGAGCCAGUAACCAGUAGGUAGUCUAGUGGUUAGAGAGUUGGGCCAGUAACCAGUAGGUAGUCUAGUGGUUAGAGAGUUGGGCCAGUAAACAGUAGGUAGUCUAGUGGUUAGAGUGUUGAGCCCGUAAACGAAAUGUUGCUGGUUCAAAAACACAAGCUGACAAGGUGAUUGUUUUUCCCAAUGUGCCCUUGAGCAAGGCACUUUAACACCACACUGCACCUGUCUGGUGAAUGUGAA